AGCAGCCGCGGUAAUUCCAGCUCCAAUAGCGUAUAUUAAAGUUGUUGCAGUUAAAAGCUCGUAGUUGAAUUUCGGAAUCAAUGGAUCGGUCAUGCCACUCGGUGUGUACUGGUUUGAUUGGUUCUCUCCUUCUAAGGAACCGUGAUGUCAUUAAUUUGGUGUCGCGGGGAAUUAGGACUGUUACCUUGAAAAAUUGAGUGUUUAAAGCAAGCUCACGCUUGAAUACAUUAGCAUGGAAUAAUGAAAUAGGACAUUGUAUUCUAUUUUGUUGGUUUCUAGGAUCGAUGUAAUGAUUAAUAGGGAUAGUUGGGGGCAUUAGUAUUCAAUUGUCAGAGGUGAAAUUCUUGGAUUUAUUGAAGACUAACUACUGCGAAAGCAUUUGCCAAGGAUGUUUUCAUUAAUCAAGAACGAAAGUUAGGGAUCGAAGACGAUCAGAUACCGUCGUAGUCUUAACCAUAAACUAUGCCGACUAGGGAUCGGAUGAUGUUAAUUUUUAAUGACUCAUUCC
RNAcentral lists this unclassified non-coding RNA (508 nucleotides) under uncultured Glomus. Its description in RNAcentral is "SSU rRNA". It matches the Rfam family "Eukaryotic small subunit ribosomal RNA", at positions 569 to 1082 of the family's 1831-position model. The record is from RNAcentral. Lineage: Eukaryota; Fungi; Glomeromycota; Glomeromycetes; Glomerales; Glomeraceae.